CUAAAUUUAACUAGGGUCCUACUAGCUACCUUAAAUUAUUUUAAAAUAAAAUAAAUACACCAUAAAAAUUGAUGUGGCAUAGAAAAUGUGCACUUGCCUUCAAGAGAGUGUGCACAUUUUCUAUGCCACAUCAAUUUUUAUGGUGUAUUUAUUUCAUUUUAAAAUUGUUUAAGGUGGCUAAUAGGACCCUAGUUAAAUUUAGGU
Non-coding RNA from Solanum tuberosum (potato), 204 nucleotides. Lineage: Eukaryota; Viridiplantae; Streptophyta; Magnoliopsida; Solanales; Solanaceae. The record is from RefSeq and is marked provisional.